GAUGAAGAACGCAGCGAAAUGCGAUAAGUAAUGUGAAUUGCAGAAUUCAGUGAAUCAUCGAAUCUUUGAACGCACAUUGCGCCCGCCAGAAUACUGGCGGGCAUGCCUGUUCGAGCGUCAUUUCAACCAUCAAGCCCCCGGCUUGUGUUGGGGACCUGCGGCUGCCGCAGGCCCUGAAAAGCAGUGGCGGGCUCGCUGUCACACCGAGCGUAGUAGCAUACAUCUCGCUCUGGGCGUGCUGCGGGUUCCGGCCGUUAAACCACCUUCAUAACCCAAGGUUGACCUCGGAUCAGGUAGGAAGACCCGCUGAACUUAAGCAUAUCAAUAAGCGGAGGA
RNAcentral lists this unclassified non-coding RNA (336 nucleotides) under soil metagenome. RNAcentral's name for it is "partial contains 5.8S ribosomal RNA, internal transcribed spacer 2, and large subunit ribosomal RNA". The stretch from base 1 to 120 matches the Rfam family "5.8S ribosomal RNA", at positions 35 to 154 of the family's 154-position model. The record is from RNAcentral.